RNAcentral lists this ribosomal RNA (445 nucleotides) under uncultured bacterium. RNAcentral's name for it is "bacterial SSU rRNA". It matches the Rfam family "Bacterial small subunit ribosomal RNA", at positions 91 to 518 of the family's 1533-position model. The record is from RNAcentral.
UAGAGCGGCGGACGGGUGAGUAACACGUGGACAAUCUCGCCCCCCGGGACCGGGAUACGCCCGAGGGAAACCUGGAUUAAUACCGGAUGAGACGGGACCUGCGAUGGCGGGAUCCGGGAAAGGCGCUACGGCGCCGCCGGGGGAUGAGUCUGCGUCCCAUUAGCUAGACGGCGGGGUAACGGCCCACCGUGGCGACGAUGGGUAGCCGGCCUGAGAGGGUGGACGGCCACAUUGGAACUGAGACACGGUCCAGACUCCUACGGGAGGCAGCAGCUAAGAAUCUUCCGCAAUGGGCGAAAGCCUGACGGAGCGACGCCCGCGUGAACGAAGAAGGCCGUGAGGUUGUAAAGUUCUUUUCGGGAGGGGGAACAACCGUGGCAGGGAAUGGCCGCGGGAUGACGUGAAUCCCGGAAUAAGCCCCGGCUAACUACGUGCCAGCCGCUGC